Molecule: long non-coding RNA, 646 nt
Organism: Canis lupus familiaris (dog)
Lineage: Eukaryota; Metazoa; Chordata; Mammalia; Carnivora; Canidae
Exons: 5
Source: RefSeq, a predicted model, not a curated record
GUGGGGGUGGGGGUGGGGGAGACACAGCACCUGGCCGCACCUCCGCCCAGGUGACAGUUUAACUGCCUCCGCAUCCCUCCUCCGACCUCCCCGUGCGACCCGGCAGCCACUUGGACGCGGGGGUGGCUGGAGACCGCAGGAAGAAUCCCAUUUUAUCCCAAACAUCCCGGCCCAGGCCUCCGUGCCAAACUGCAAACUCAAUGAGGAAGAUACCGUAACUUGUGCUCUCUGACAGAUGAGGAAACCGAGGGACAGUGGGGUAACCAGGGAAUUUGUGAAUGAGUUGUGGAUUAAUGCAUGAUGACUCUCGUGCUGCUUUCUGGCUGACUCUCCACCAUUGGCACCAAGUUGCAAAGGUCUUGUUCUUUCCUGUCCUGCAUUGUACAAGACCUGCACCAGGUAGUGAGGAUCUAGUGGCCAGUCAGACGGAAGCCAGCCCUCAGAGCCCACAGUGUCGUGGGCAGGCAGACGGGAGGCAAGUGGAGGAAGAGAGAGGAGCCGCUCGCAUAGACAGCAGGGCCUGUGAGAGCCCUUCGUCCCCGUCUCGCCCUCUCUAGUUGCCACUCUUUACAAAGAAAAAAAAAAAAAGGAAUGAACGUGGUCAGCAAAAGCGAGAGGUGGUGUUUAAGCUGUCAGUGCUGCUGAG